UACGGAGGAUGCAAGCGUUAUCCGGAAUGAUUGGGCGUAAAGCGUCCGCAGGUGGCUGUGUAAGUCUGCUGUUAAAUAGUGAGGCUCAACCUCAUAAAGGCAGUGGAAACUACACGGCUAGAGUGCGUUCGGGGCAGAGGGAAUUCCAGGUGUAGCGGUGAAAUGCGUAGAUAUCUGGAGGAAUACCGGUGGCGAAGGCGGCAUCCUGGACCGACAUUGACGCUGAGGAGCGAAAGCUAGGGGAGCAAACGGG
RNAcentral lists this ribosomal RNA (253 nucleotides) under uncultured bacterium. Its description in RNAcentral is "partial 16S ribosomal RNA". It matches the Rfam family "Bacterial small subunit ribosomal RNA", at positions 524 to 776 of the family's 1533-position model. The record is from RNAcentral.